UGCCAGCAGCCGCGGUAAUACGGAGGGUGCAAGCGUUAUCCGGAUUUAUUGGGCGUAAAGCGCACGUAGGCGGACUAUUAAGUUAGAGGUGAAAUCCCGAGGCUCAACCCCGAAACUGCCAUUGAUACUGAUAAACUUGAGUUCAGUUGGAGUAGGCGGAAUGUGUAGUGUAGCGGUGAAAUGCUUAGAUAUUACACAGAACACCGAUAGCGAAGGCAGCUUACUAAACUGAUACUGGCGCUGAGGCACGAAAGCGCGGGGAGCGAACAGGAUUAGAUA
This 279-nucleotide ribosomal RNA is filed under the name uncultured bacterium. RNAcentral's name for it is "partial 16S ribosomal RNA". It matches the Rfam family "Bacterial small subunit ribosomal RNA", at positions 506 to 784 of the family's 1533-position model. The record is from RNAcentral.